AGAGUUUGAUCAUGGCUCAGAUUGAACGCUGGCGGCAGGCCUAACACAUGCAAGUCGAGCGGCAGCACGGGAAGCUUGCUUCCUGGUGGCGAGCGGCGGACGGGUGAGUAAUGCAUAGGAAUCUGCCCGGUAGUGGGGGAUAACCUGGGGAAACCCAGGCUAAUACCGCAUACGCCCUACGGGGGAAAGCAGGGGCUCUUCGGACCUUGCGCUAUCGGAUGAGCCUAUGUCGGAUUAGCUGGUUGGUGAGGUAAUGGCUCACCAAGGCGACGAUCCGUAGCUGGUCUGAGAGGAUGAUCAGCCACAUCGGGACUGAGACACGGCCCGAACUCCUACGGGAGGCAGCAGUGGGGAAUAUUGGACAAUGGGCGCAAGCCUGAUCCAGCCAUGCCGCGUGUGUGAAGAAGGCCCUCGGGUUGUAAAGCACUUUCAGUGGGGAAGAAAGCCUGGUGGUUAAUACCCGUCAGGAAGGACAUCACCCACAGAAGAAGCACCGGCUAACUCCGUGCCAGCAGCCGCGGUAAUACGGAGGGUGCGAGCGUUAAUCGGAAUUACUGGGCGUAAAGCGCGCGUAGGUGGCUUGAUAAGCCGGUUGUGAAAGCCCCGGGCUCAACCUGGGAACGGCAUCCGGAACUGUCAGGCUAGAGUGCAGGAGAGGAAGGUAGAAUUCCCGGUGUAGCGGUGAAAUGCGUAGAGAUCGGGAGGAAUACCAGUGGCGAAGGCGGCCUUCUGGACUGACACUGACACUGAGGUGCGAAAGCGUGGGUAGCAAACAGGAUUAGAUACCCUGGUAGUCCACGCCGUAAACGAUGUCGACUAGCCGUUGGGUCCUUCGCGGACUUUGUGGCGCAGUUAACGCGAUAAGUCGACCGCCUGGGGAGUACGGCCGCAAGGUUAAAACUCAAAUGAAUUGACGGGGGCCCGCACAAGCGGUGGAGCAUGUGGUUUAAUUCGAUGCAACGCGAAGAACCUUACCUACCCUUGACAUCCUGCGAACCCUUCGGAGACGAAGGGGUGCCUUCGGGAACGCAGAGACAGGUGCUGCAUGGCUGUCGUCAGCUCGUGUUGUGAAAUGUUGGGUUAAGUCCCGUAACGAGCGCAACCCUUGUCCUUAUUUGCCAGCGAGUAAUGUCGGGAACUCUAAGGAGACUGCCGGUGACAAACCGGAGGAAGGUGGGGACGACGUCAAGUCAUCAUGGCCCUUACGGGUAGGGCUACACACGUGCUACAAUGGUCGGUACAAAGGGUUGCGAACUUGCGAAAGUGAGCUAAUCCCAGAAAGCUGAUCUCAGUCCGGAUCGGAGUCUGCAACUCGACUCCGUGAAGUCGGAAUCGCUAGUAAUCGU
Molecule: ribosomal RNA, 1346 nt
Filed under: Halomonas sp. KM-1
Lineage: Bacteria; Pseudomonadati; Pseudomonadota; Gammaproteobacteria; Oceanospirillales; Halomonadaceae
Description: bacterial SSU rRNA
Rfam family: Bacterial small subunit ribosomal RNA
Source: RNAcentral